UGGCGAGUUUGAUCCUGGCUCAGAAUGAACGCUGGCGGUAUGCUUAAUACAUGCAAGUCGAACGAAAUAUUUAGCACUUGUGUUAAAUAAUUUAGUGGCGAACGGGUGAGUAACACGUAAGAACUUACCCCUAGACGAGGUACAACAAUUGGAAACGACUGCUAAUACCUCAUAUAACCGGAAGGUGAAAGAAGCAAUUCGUCUAGGGCGAGGCUUGCGUCUGAUUAGCUAGUUGGUGAGGUAAUGGCUUACCAAGGCGACGAUCAGUAGUUGGUCUUAGAGGAUGAUCAGCCACACUGGGACUGAGACACGGCCCAGACUCCUACGGGAGGCAGCAGUGGGGAAUAUUGGACAAUGGGGGCAACCCUGAUCCAGCCAUGCCGCGUGUGUGAAGAAGGCUUUCGGGUUGUAAAGCACUUUCAGUGAGGAGGAAAACCUU
RNAcentral lists this ribosomal RNA (439 nucleotides) under Chloropicon laureae. Its description in RNAcentral is "partial Bacterial small subunit ribosomal RNA". It matches the Rfam family "Bacterial small subunit ribosomal RNA", at positions 1 to 455 of the family's 1533-position model. The record is from RNAcentral. Lineage: Eukaryota; Viridiplantae; Chlorophyta; Chloropicophyceae; Chloropicales; Chloropicaceae.